GGCGAUACCUCGGGGGGCUCGAUUGAGCUGAGAUGUGCGUUUGCAUGGACCCGUAGAACCUGAACCGGUUAACACCGGCGGAGGGAAGGUCUGGACAAACAUC
RNAcentral lists this non-coding RNA (103 nucleotides) under Sulfitobacter mediterraneus. RNAcentral's name for it is "TPP sequence". It matches the Rfam family "TPP riboswitch aptamer (THI element)". Rfam says of the family: Vitamin B(1) in its active form thiamin pyrophosphate (TPP) is an essential coenzyme that is synthesised by coupling of pyrimidine and thiazole moieties in bacteria. The previously detected thiamin-regulatory element, thi box was extended, resulting in a new, highly conserved RNA secondary structure, the THI element, which is widely distributed in eubacteria and also occurs in some archaea. Lineage: Bacteria; Pseudomonadati; Pseudomonadota; Alphaproteobacteria; Rhodobacterales; Roseobacteraceae. The record is from Rfam by way of RNAcentral.